UUCGGGUGCGUUAAUGGGCGUCGAGCGGCGGACGGGUGAGUAAUGCCUAGGAAAUUGCCUUGAUGUGGGGGAUAACCAUUGGAAACGAUGGCUAAUACCGCAUAAUGCCUACGGGCCAAAGAGGGGGACCUUCGGGCCUCUCGCGUCAAGAUAUGCCUAGGUGGGAUUAGCUAGUUGGUGAGGUAAUGGCUCACCAAGGCGACGAUCCCUAGCUGGUCUGAGAGGAUGAUCAGCCACACUGGAACUGAGACACGGUCCAGACUCCUACGGGAGGCAGCAGUGGGGAAUAUUGCACAAUGGGCGAAAGCCUGAUGCAGCCAUGCCGCGUGUAUGAAGAAGGCCUUCGGGUUGUAAAGUACUUUCAGUUGUGAGGAAGGG
RNAcentral lists this ribosomal RNA (378 nucleotides) under Vibrio sp. TMPB1044. RNAcentral describes it as "bacterial SSU rRNA". It matches the Rfam family "Bacterial small subunit ribosomal RNA", at positions 67 to 452 of the family's 1533-position model. The record is from RNAcentral. Lineage: Bacteria; Pseudomonadati; Pseudomonadota; Gammaproteobacteria; Vibrionales; Vibrionaceae.